RNAcentral lists this unclassified non-coding RNA (720 nucleotides) under Hevea brasiliensis (rubber tree). The record is from RNAcentral. Lineage: Eukaryota; Viridiplantae; Streptophyta; Magnoliopsida; Malpighiales; Euphorbiaceae.
UUGACCACUAGGAUCAUUUAUCAGUUUUAUCUUUUAAUAAUAAAUUCAGCCACUGGGUUUAUGAUUUUGUAAAUGCAAGGAUCAAUUGCCAAUUAGGGAUUAAUCAGUAUAAAGGUAAUUUGAGGAAAUGCAACUGUUUUGUGUUGUUUACCCAUGCUUUGUUUCUGUGAUUCAAAAUUUUAUCAAUUAUUAAACAUUGAAUGUGGGUUUCAGUCUAUAAGUUGCAAUAGAUUCCAUGCAAAUCUAUUUCCAAGGAAAACCUUUUGUGGGCUUCCACAUCUGGUGAUAUUGGCUACUCAAAAUAUUUGUCAAUUUCAUCUUUGAGCAUAAUUUGAACACAUGGUUUGAGAUUUCAAUGAACUAACAAAGGAAGUUGUUGGUUUGUAAGAAGCAUGUGGAAAAAUGAGCAAAUAGAUAAUUGAUUGGUGGAUAAAUCAUAAAAAGAGUGCAAGUGCAGGCACAGGGUAUUAAAGGAUUCGAAAGAAGAGUUCAAGUGGUUGACUUUGAUUGAAGUAAAUUGAAUCCUUGUUUUUUAUUUUUUUAUUUUUUGGUGGGUUCUCUGCCUGCUUGCAUUUUUGUUUUAAGCUUUUCUCUUUGCAUCUAGGAUCUAAUUCUUGUUACUCCUGCAAUAAUGCUUGCAGUCUUUUUUAUUUGUCUUUUUGUGUUCUAUUCAUAUAAUGUACUUGGGCUGGCAGCCACUCUGCCACCUUUUGUUAGUUC